AAGAUUGACGAUGAUGACAUCAUCUCCCACAUCCUCGUUGGCCUGGACGAGGAAUUUGAUCCUGUGGUCUCUGCCAUGUGCUCCAGAGUGGAGCCGAUCACCAUCCCUGAGCUGUUCUCUCAGCUCAUCAGCUUCGAGA
This is a non-coding RNA of Triticum aestivum (bread wheat), 139 nucleotides long. NCBI's taxonomy places the organism in Eukaryota, Viridiplantae, Streptophyta, Magnoliopsida, Poales, Poaceae. The record is from Rfam.